CCACAUAUGAUGAACUACUCGGAUUCCCCUUCAGGACAUUUGGAUGACGCAAAACCGAGUUUCUGAUGUA
RNAcentral lists this small nucleolar RNA (70 nucleotides) under Helianthus annuus (common sunflower). Its description in RNAcentral is "Small nucleolar RNA snoR60". It matches the Rfam family "Small nucleolar RNA snoR60". From Rfam's summary of the family: snoR60 is a member of the C/D class of snoRNA which contain the C (UGAUGA) and D (CUGA) box motifs. Most of the members of the box C/D family function in directing site-specific 2'-O-methylation of substrate RNAs. The record is from Rfam by way of RNAcentral. Lineage: Eukaryota; Viridiplantae; Streptophyta; Magnoliopsida; Asterales; Asteraceae.